RNAcentral lists this ribosomal RNA (303 nucleotides) under uncultured bacterium. RNAcentral describes it as "bacterial SSU rRNA". It matches the Rfam family "Bacterial small subunit ribosomal RNA", at positions 30 to 334 of the family's 1533-position model. The record is from RNAcentral.
AUUGAACGCUGGCGGCAUGCCUUACACAUGCAAGUCGAACGGCAGCACGGGAGCAAUCCUGGUGGCGAGUGGCGAACGGGUGAGUAAUAUAUCGGAACGUGCCCAGUCGUGGGGGAUAACGCAGCGAAAGCUGUGCUAAUACCGCAUACGAUCUAUGGAUGAAAGCGGGGAUCGCAAGACCUCGCGCGAUUGGAGCGGCCGAUAUCAGAUUAGGUAGUUGGUGAGGUAAAGGCUCACCAAGCCGACGAUCUGUAGCUGGUCUGAGAGGACGACCAGCCACACUGGAACUGAGACACGGUCCAG